GCCUGGCUGGCUCAGUUGGAAGAGCAUGAGACUCUUGAUCUUGGGAUGGUGGGUUUGAGCCCCACAUUGGGUG
This 73-nucleotide transfer RNA is filed under the name Ailuropoda melanoleuca (giant panda). It matches the Rfam family "tRNA". Rfam says of the family: Transfer RNA (tRNA) molecules are approximately 80 nucleotides in length. Their secondary structure includes four short double-helical elements and three loops (D, anti-codon, and T loops). Lineage: Eukaryota; Metazoa; Chordata; Mammalia; Carnivora; Ursidae. The record is from Rfam by way of RNAcentral.